Molecule: ribosomal RNA, 468 nt
Filed under: uncultured bacterium
Lineage: Bacteria
Description: partial 16S ribosomal RNA
Rfam family: Bacterial small subunit ribosomal RNA
Source: RNAcentral
GACGAACGCUGGCGGCGUGCUUAACACAUGCAAGUCGAACGAAAAGGCCCUGCUUUUGUGGGGUGCUCGAGUGGCGAACGGGUGAGUAACACGUGAGUAACCUGCCCUUGACUUUGGGGUAACUUCAGGAAACUGGGGCUAAUACCGGAUAGGAGCUCCUGCUGCAUGGUGGGGGUUGGAAAGUUUCGGCGGUUGGGGAUGGACUCGCGGCUUAUCAGCUUGUUGGUGGGGUAGUGGCUUACCAAGGCUUUGACGGGUAGCCGGCCUGAGAGGGUGACCGGCCACAUUGGGACUGAGAUACGGCCCAGACUCCUACGGGAGGCAGCAGUGGGGAAUAUUGCACAAUGGGCGGAAGCCUGAUGCAGCAACGCCGCGUGCGGGAUGACGGCCUUCGGGUUGUAAACCGCUUUCGCCUGUGACGAAGCGUGAGUGACGGUAAUGGGUAAAGAAGCACCGGCUAACUACGUG